Molecule: non-coding RNA, 34 nt
Organism: Flavobacterium sp. LM4
Lineage: Bacteria; Pseudomonadati; Bacteroidota; Flavobacteriia; Flavobacteriales; Flavobacteriaceae
Source: Rfam
AAGGAGGAACUGAAAAUCCUAAAAAGAGUAAGUA